AUUUUUUACAGUGUAUAAAUAUCAAUAAAUGUGACAAAAACUGUCACAGAUGUGGCUCAGGACAUGUAAGAGCCAUUGGCUCAUGGGAAUCCAGGUUGUAGUGCAACCUGGGUCAUGUCCUGAUCUCAUUUCACCUCUCUUGGCCCUACUUUCCUGUCUACACUCAACAUUCCUAACAAAAUAAAAGACAAAAGGUCCAAAAAUGUAAAUAAAAAAGUGACUAAAACAGUUGUUGCUAGAUACGGCAGUAACCUCCAUUCUGCAGCAAACACAUUCUCACAAGAGUUUCUACAUAAUGAGCACUACAAUAUAGCCAUUACUGACAAAAAGGGAAAAAAGCAAAAACUGCAUAUAUGUUCUUUAGAGGUUGGACAAACAUUAGCAUGCAAUGACGAAAUGGACUAAAGAGGUGGAAAACUCUGCGAGGACUUUGAUCUCCAGCACACAUUGGUUACAUAAGUUACGUAAUCUUAGUCUUGUGAUGUCUGGAAGCAUUGAAGAUAUUACAGUAUGGGUGUGGACGAGGCAUUUUCAGUGCCAACUUUUGCAGUUCUUGAUUUGAACACAGCCACCCAGGCAGCUUGACUGCUGGAAUCAAUAAAAAGCUCAUUAGCUUUUCCAGUUGACCUCACAUUCGAUUCAUACAUAAAGUAACACUCUACAAAAACAACUCUACACCCCUCCCACCUUCCACGGGUGUACAAGUCCCCGAGCAGCACGGGGAAAUAAGCUUUGGUAGGAUGGAGGCCCAGGAAUGAUUUCAAUUACUGCAAGAUGUGGAAGUGGGGCUAGCCAAACAGGGAGGCAUUGUUCCACACCACUGUGGUCCGUCUCGCUGGUGUGAAGCAUUUCCCCAUGAAACCUGAAGCGGGUUGAUAUUCAAAGGGACCUGGAUACUGUCCACCCGCAACUAGAACAUUGAUCCCCUCUAGCAAGAGUUACCAGGAACUAAAUACGUUUCUCAGGUAACAAUUGCUACAGUUCAUGGGUUUUUAAAAUAACACCAGGGAAUAAAGCACUUAAUGGCAGUGAAGGAAAAGCAGAGCAUGUCUUCAGACAGCACUCUGGGGAGGAGCCAUCACAGGAUCUGCUGACGCCUCACUUACCAUGACUGUGAAUGGAGACGACCACAACUACCAUGCUCAGAAUGCAAUCCUAAUGCACUGCUUACAGCCUAGUGGCUUUAAAAAUAGAAUGUGAAACAUUUUAAAUAGCUACAUAGAUGCUACAUAGUUACAGGAGAUGGACACCCAGCUAAAAAUGAAUGUAACGUUUUGCUAACGUUAAGUUAUGAACACACAAAACAUCCAGUUUUUUAAAUUUUGGUAAUGCAAACAUUAAAGGGAAUAUUUAAUUUUGAAAA
Long non-coding RNA from Megalobrama amblycephala (Wuchang bream), 1363 nucleotides. RefSeq lists it as uncharacterized. Lineage: Eukaryota; Metazoa; Chordata; Actinopteri; Cypriniformes; Xenocyprididae. The record is from RefSeq and is a predicted model, not a curated record. The transcript has 2 exons.